GUGGAUUAGAUACCCUGGUAGUCCACGCCGUAAACGAUGGAUGCUAGCCGUUGGCGGGUUUACUCGUCAGUGGCGCAGCUAACGCAUUAAGCAUCCCGCCUGGGGAGUACGGUCGCAAGAUUAAAACUCAAAGGAAUUGACGGGGGCCCGCACAAGCGGUGGAGCAUGUGGUUCAAUUCGAAGCAACGCGAAGAACCUUACCAACCUUUGACAUGCCUCGUAUGGUCGCUGGAGACAGCUUCCUUCCCGCAAGGGGCGAGAGCACAGGUGCUGCACGGUCGUCGCCAGCU
This 290-nucleotide ribosomal RNA is filed under the name uncultured bacterium. RNAcentral describes it as "partial 16S ribosomal RNA". It matches the Rfam family "Bacterial small subunit ribosomal RNA", at positions 773 to 1060 of the family's 1533-position model. The record is from RNAcentral.